UACGUAGGGGGCAAGCGUUGUCCGGAAUCAUUGGGCGUAAAGAGCUCGUAGGCGGUCAGUCGCGUCUGCUGUGAAAACUCGGGGCUUAACCCCGGGCCUGCAGUGGGUACGGGCUGACUAGAGUGCGGUAGGGGAGACUGGAAUUCCUGGUGUAGCGGUGAAAUGCGCAGAUAUCAGGAGGAACACCGGUGGCGAAGGCGGGUCUCUGGGCCGUAACUGACGCUGAGGAGCGAAAGCGUGGGGAGCGAACAGG
RNAcentral lists this ribosomal RNA (253 nucleotides) under uncultured bacterium. RNAcentral's name for it is "partial 16S ribosomal RNA". It matches the Rfam family "Bacterial small subunit ribosomal RNA", at positions 524 to 776 of the family's 1533-position model. The record is from RNAcentral.